UGGGCCUAAAGCGUUCGUAGCCGGUUUGAUAAGUCUCUGGUGAAAUCCCGCAGCUUAACUGUGGGACUUGCUGGAGAUACUAUCAGACUUGAGGUCGGGAGAGGUUAGGGGUACUCCCAGGGUAGGGGUGAAAUCCUAUAAUCCUGGGAGGACCACCUGUGGCGAAGGCGCCUAACUGGAACGAACCUGACGGUGAGUAACGAAAGCCAGGGGCGCGAACCGGAUUAGAUACCCGGGUAGUCCUGGCCGUAAACGAUGUGGACUUGGUGUUGGAAUGGCCUCGAGCUGCUCCAGUGCCGAAGGGAAGCUGUUAAGUCCACCGCCUGGGAAGUACG
RNAcentral lists this ribosomal RNA (335 nucleotides) under uncultured Methanobacterium sp. RNAcentral describes it as "bacterial SSU rRNA". It matches the Rfam family "Archaeal small subunit ribosomal RNA", at positions 505 to 839 of the family's 1478-position model. The record is from RNAcentral. Lineage: Archaea; Methanobacteriati; Methanobacteriota; Methanobacteria; Methanobacteriales; Methanobacteriaceae.